Syzygium oleosum is the source of this 328-nucleotide long non-coding RNA. RefSeq lists it as uncharacterized. The record is from RefSeq and is a predicted model, not a curated record. Lineage: Eukaryota; Viridiplantae; Streptophyta; Magnoliopsida; Myrtales; Myrtaceae. The transcript is spliced from 3 exons.
UUUUUGUCUAUGUUUUUUGAUGUUUUUAGUGAUAAGCCAGGGGACAAUUCAGAAGUGGGUAAGGUGCAAUAAGACUUUAUCAUACACAUACACUGUUACAGACGUCAUUGACAUACACAAAGAGCUCAUGAAAAGGGGAUUUCGGGCGCUUAUUUAUAGUAGUGAUCAUGAUAUGCUCAUCCCGUACGUGGGAAUUCAAGCCUGGAUUGAUAUACUAAAUCUGACGAUUUCUCAAGAUUGGCAUGCGUGGUUCGUUGAUGGACAAGUUGCCGGGUAUGCCACGCUAUAUUCUUACUUUCCAUCCCUUCUCACAUAUGCAACCGUCAAG